RNAcentral lists this transfer RNA (88 nucleotides) under Planctomycetota bacterium. RNAcentral's name for it is "Planctomycetes bacterium tRNA-Ser". It matches the Rfam family "tRNA". From Rfam's summary of the family: Transfer RNA (tRNA) molecules are approximately 80 nucleotides in length. Their secondary structure includes four short double-helical elements and three loops (D, anti-codon, and T loops). Further hydrogen bonds mediate the characteristic L-shaped molecular structure. tRNAs have two regions of fundamental functional importance: the anti-codon, which is responsible for specific mRNA codon recognition, and the 3' end, to which the tRNAs corresponding amino acid is attached (by aminoacyl-tRNA synthetases). tRNAs cope with the degeneracy of the genetic code in two manners: having more than one tRNA (with a specific anti-codon) for a particular amino acid; and 'wobble' base-pairing, i.e. permitting non-standard base-pairing at the 3rd anti-codon position. The record is from RNAcentral. Lineage: Bacteria; Pseudomonadati; Planctomycetota.
GGAGAGGUGACAGAGUGGUCGAUUGUGGCGGUCUCGAAAACCGUUGUCCCUCACGGGACCGUGGGUUCGAAUCCCACCCUCUCCGCCA